RNAcentral lists this ribosomal RNA (2902 nucleotides) under Klebsiella pneumoniae. RNAcentral's name for it is "23S ribosomal RNA". It matches the Rfam family "Bacterial large subunit ribosomal RNA". The record is from RNAcentral. Lineage: Bacteria; Pseudomonadati; Pseudomonadota; Gammaproteobacteria; Enterobacterales; Enterobacteriaceae.
GGUUAAGCGACUAAGCGUACACGGUGGAUGCCCUGGCAGUCAGAGGCGAUGAAGGACGUGCUAAUCUGCGAAAAGCGUCGGUAAGGUGAUAUGAACCGUUAUAACCGGCGAUGUCCGAAUGGGGAAACCCAGUGCAAUUCGUUGCACUAUCGUUAACUGAAUACAUAGGUUAACGAGGCGAACCGGGGGAACUGAAACAUCUAAGUACCCCGAGGAAAAGAAAUCAACCGAGAUUCCCCCAGUAGCGGCGAGCGAACGGGGAGCAGCCCAGAGUCUGAAUCAGCUUGUGUGUUAGUGGAACGGUCUGGAAAGUCCGACGGUACAGGGUGAUAGUCCCGUACACCAAAAUGCACAGGUUGUGAACUCGAAGAGUAGGGCGGGACACGUGGUAUCCUGUCUGAAUAUGGGGGGACCAUCCUCCAAGGCUAAAUACUCCUGACUGACCGAUAGUGAACCAGUACCGUGAGGGAAAGGCGAAAAGAACCCCGGCGAGGGGAGUGAAAAAGAACCUGAAACCGUGUACGUACAAGCAGUGGGAGCACCUUCGGGUGUGACUGCGUACCUUUUGUAUAAUGGGUCAGCGACUUAUAUUCUGUAGCAAGGUUAACCGUAUAGGGGAGCCGCAGGGAAACCGAGUCUUAACUGGGCGUUAAGUUGCAGGGUAUAGACCCGAAACCCGGUGAUCUAGCCAUGGGCAGGUUGAAGGUUGGGUAACACUAACUGGAGGACCGAACCGACUAAUGUUGAAAAAUUAGCGGAUGACUUGUGGCUGGGGGUGAAAGGCCAAUCAAACCGGGAGAUAGCUGGUUCUCCCCGAAAGCUAUUUAGGUAGCGCCUCGUGAAUUCAUCUUCGGGGGUAGAGCACUGUUUCGGCUAGGGGGUCAUCCCGACUUACCAACCCGAUGCAAACUACGAAUACCGAAGAAUGUUAUCACGGGAGACACACGGCGGGUGCUAACGUCCGUCGUGAAGAGGGAAACAACCCAGACCGCCAGCUAAGGUCCCAAAGUCAUGGUUAAGUGGGAAACGAUGUGGGAAGGCACAGACAGCCAGGAUGUUGGCUUAGAAGCAGCCAUCAUUUAAAGAAAGCGUAAUAGCUCACUGGUCGAGUCGGCCUGCGCGGAAGAUGUAACGGGGCUAAACCAUGCACCGAAGCUGCGGCAGCGACACUAUGUGUUGUUGGGUAGGGGAGCGUUCUGUAAGCCUGUGAAGGUGACCUGUGAGGGUUGCUGGAGGUAUCAGAAGUGCGAAUGCUGACAUAAGUAACGAUAAAGCGGGUGAAAAGCCCGCUCGCCGGAAGACCAAGGGUUCCUGUCCAACGUUAAUCGGGGCAGGGUGAGUCGACCCCUAAGGCGAGGCCGAAAGGCGUAGUCGAUGGGAAACAGGUUAAUAUUCCUGUACUUGGUGUUACUGCGAAGGGGGGACGGAGAAGGCUAUGUUAGCCGGGCGACGGUUGUCCCGGUUUAAGCAUGUAGGCUGAUUGUCCAGGCAAAUCCGGAUAAUCAAGGCUGAGGUGUGAUGACGAGGCACUACGGUGCUGAAGUAACAAAUGCCCUGCUUCCAGGAAAAGCCUCUAAGCAUCAGGUAACAUUAAAUCGUACCCCAAACCGACACAGGUGGUCAGGUAGAGAAUACCAAGGCGCUUGAGAGAACUCGGGUGAAGGAACUAGGCAAAAUGGUGCCGUAACUUCGGGAGAAGGCACGCUGGUGUGUAGGUGAAGUCCCUGCGGAUGGAGCUGAGACCAGUCGAAGAUACCAGCUGGCUGCAACUGUUUAUUAAAAACACAGCACUGUGCAAACACGAAAGUGGACGUAUACGGUGUGACGCCUGCCCGGUGCCGGAAGGUUAAUUGAUGGGGUUAUCCGUAAGGAGAAGCUCUUGAUCGAAGCCCCGGUAAACGGCGGCCGUAACUAUAACGGUCCUAAGGUAGCGAAAUUCCUUGUCGGGUAAGUUCCGACCUGCACGAAUGGCGUAAUGAUGGCCAGGCUGUCUCCACCCGAGACUCAGUGAAAUUGAACUCGCUGUGAAGAUGCAGUGUACCCGCGGCAAGACGGAAAGACCCCGUGAACCUUUACUAUAGCUUGACACUGAACAUUGAGCCUUGAUGUGUAGGAUAGGUGGGAGGCUUUGAAGCGUGGACGCCAGUCUGCGUGGAGCCAACCUUGAAAUACCACCCUUUAAUGUUUGAUGUUCUAACGUUGGCCCCUGACCGGGGUUGCGGACAGUGUCUGGUGGGUAGUUUGACUGGGGCGGUCUCCUCCCAAAGCGUAACGGAGGAGCACGAAGGUUAGCUAAUCCUGGUCGGACAUCAGGAGGUUAGUGCAAUGGCAUAAGCUAGCUUGACUGCGAGCGUGACGGCGCGAGCAGGUGCGAAAGCAGGUCAUAGUGAUCCGGUGGUUCUGAAUGGAAGGGCCAUCGCUCAACGGAUAAAAGGUACUCCGGGGAUAACAGGCUGAUACCGCCCAAGAGUUCAUAUCGACGGCGGUGUUUGGCACCUCGAUGUCGGCUCAUCACAUCCUGGGGCUGAAGUAGGUCCCAAGGGUAUGGCUGUUCGCCAUUUAAAGUGGUACGCGAGCUGGGUUUAGAACGUCGUGAGACAGUUCGGUCCCUAUCUGCCGUGGGCGCUGGAGAAUUGAGGGGGGCUGCUCCUAGUACGAGAGGACCGGAGUGGACGCAUCACUGGUGUUCGGGUUGUCAUGCCAAUGGCACUGCCCGGUAGCUAAAUGCGGAAGAGAUAAGUGCUGAAAGCAUCUAAGCACGAAACUUGCCCCGAGAUGAGUUCUCCCUGAGACUUUAAGUCUCCUGAAGGAACGUUAAAGACGAUGACGUUGAUAGGCCGGGUGUGUAAGCGCAGCGAUGCGUUGAGCUAACCGGUACUAAUGAACCGUGAGGCUUAACCUU